Molecule: non-coding RNA, 23 nt
Filed under: Xenopus tropicalis (tropical clawed frog)
Lineage: Eukaryota; Metazoa; Chordata; Amphibia; Anura; Pipidae
Also listed under: 2 other names
Source: RNAcentral
UCAGUCUCAUAAUCUGAAGGUCG